Long non-coding RNA from Dendronephthya gigantea, 1037 nucleotides. RefSeq lists it as uncharacterized. The transcript has 5 exons. Lineage: Eukaryota; Metazoa; Cnidaria; Anthozoa; Malacalcyonacea; Nephtheidae. The record is from RefSeq and is a predicted model, not a curated record.
UAUACCUCAACCUGGUGGCUCUUUUUGUGGCCGGUCAGAGCAUACAUAAUAUUGCCAGCAACGGCGUUUGCGAUCUCAACGCCUUUGUCCGAGUUGGAGAUAUUCUACGUUGGGAAAAUCCAACGAACCAAACAAUCUACAUCAAAGGAGAACAAUGCCACACAAAACUUAGCAUUGUCAUUCCACCUAAACAUAAUGCGAGGUAUGUCUUUCAGCUUCGUGGUGUAUGUCAAUAUCGCUCCAGUGCUUGUCCGUCAGAGCUCGGAAUUUUAAAUGUCAAAGCAAGUCGAAUUCAACGACGGAGCAUUACCACCUCAUUCCCGACCACCCAAGGACCACUGUGCAUGGCACUCUGUCAGGGAACAUAUAUAUCACUUAGAGAUAUCACCAGUGCCAAUCUAUGUCAUUAUCAAUAUGCCUAUGUUGUGCGUGGUGAUGUAAAAAGAUAUUACACAGUAAAAAGCGGUAAAGAGUAUCUUGAAUUGUCCGUAAAGAAUGAUUAUCUUCUACCGGUUUGUUCGAGUAAUUGUUUACCGACUCCAACAUACAAAUCAUCUCUCUUAUGGAUGCCAACUUCUCAGAACUGUACAUGCCCAAAAUUUAAGGUCGGUAGCGAUCUCCUCGUCAUGGGUUUUCGUUAUGGCACUGAACUCGCAUUUAGUACAACUGGCAAAUAUGCCGAUUGGGAUCCGAAAAUGGCCACGAAACUUCUUGCCUAUCAACGCAAGGUGAACAGAAAUCCACCUUGUUCCUGAAUCGCAAACAGAAAUUGCAAAAACCAGAAGACCAGCAGAAAAGAUGCCGUAUCAGUUGCAAGGUCAUACGCAAGUUGUCUUCACAUGCUGUACCAGGUGUACAAAGUUUGAGACAGACUAUAUAUAACUAAUUUAAGUAUAUUUUGUGCUAUGUAUAUAAUGUGAUUGUGCACAGAGGACGAUACAGACAAAUGCCAAGUCUGGCAAGUUACGCGGCACGCUAAUAUAUAUUAAGGCAGAUUUAACUGAGACCACGCGGCAGGACGCGAUUUGGCAACGCGG